GGGCGACAGUUUUCGCAGGUAGAGAAGCAUCUGCAGAGUUCUCACCUGGGGUUACUGUCUUCGUUCACACCGAAGAGGUCACUGGUUCGAUCCCAGUAUCGCCCA
Molecule: transfer RNA, 105 nt
Filed under: Nonomuraea rhodomycinica
Lineage: Bacteria; Bacillati; Actinomycetota; Actinomycetes; Streptosporangiales; Streptosporangiaceae
Description: tRNA-Ser
Source: RNAcentral